AUAGCCGGGUCCUGCCUUCAUGUUACCAGCUAAACGUCUUCUAAUGAUCAGAACUCAAGGACGCCUACAGCAAGUGACACUUCAGCUGAGGGACUUGCAAACGUGUCCACAUGGAAAUGGACGCCGACUGGACUCAGAUGUGGACUGUUCUGCUUGAUCUGACUCCUCUGCAUCUGCUUGCCCUGCCUGCAUUUCAUCCUCAGAGCUCUCUGAAUCAUCUACCUCUGCUUCUGCCUCAAACACUGCAUCUUGACCUUCUUCAUCAGAGAACUCAAUAUCUGAGUUUCCUACAAUUCGCAGUAAAAUCCUCUCUGCCUCUGAGAAUG
Molecule: long non-coding RNA, 326 nt
Organism: Eleginops maclovinus (Patagonian blennie)
Lineage: Eukaryota; Metazoa; Chordata; Actinopteri; Perciformes; Eleginopidae
Exons: 3
Source: RefSeq, a predicted model, not a curated record